AUGGCGAGGCCGCAGCAGGAGGCGAUCGACACCUUCAUCAGCAUCACCGGCGCCGACGAGGCCGUCGCCAUCCGCAAGCUCGAGGAACAUGCUGGUGACCUCAAUCAGGCAGUCAAUGCACACUUCACUGAAGGAGAUAGCACAGUGAACCCAAUCAAUCAAAGUAUUCCACCUGUUAAUCAUGAUGAUAUGGAGCUGGACGGACCACUUGAUAACACGUUUCAAAGACCGUUGUUCCCUGAAGCUCUGCACGACCCUUUUGCACUAAUGGAUCCCAAUUUCCAGCAAAUGUUUUUUGAUAGUGUUGGUUCUGCUGGUACUCUCAAUCGUGAUGCACAAGGUCCGCACCCUAGAGAGACAACUAAUGAAGUUAAUGACAACAACAUUCAAAUGGGUCCUUCUGGUCAGGCUUCUGUUGUUGGGAAUGCCACUGGACACGGGUCUUCAUAUGGACCAGAAGUUCGUGAGACUAUCAUAAUCGAUGAUGACGAUGAGGAGUUGUCAUCUGGGCUGUCUUCUCAGCAUGCUAGUAUCCGUAGCAAUGCACCGCAGCCAAAUCCUCUGCCAACUGCUCCUCCACUAGUUCAUGUCACAGACAAUGACAUAGAAGAGGAAAUGAUUCGGGCUGCAAUUGAAGCUUCAAAAAGAGAGGCUGAAGAACUGGCAAACGCAGCAGAGCAAGAACGGACUCGACAUAUUGGUGGAAUAAACUUGGAAGAUCAUUUAUCUGAUGAAGACAUGGAAAUUGCAGCUGGAACAGUGAGAAGGCAAGAAUUAGGUACAGGGAGGGGUGGAACAACUAUGCAACCAGCAGAUGAAGAGAGCUCAGAUGAGGAGACCGAUGAUGUUGAAGAAGAGCCAUUAGUUAGACGUCGUUCUAGGCGCAUCCCUGCUGGAGACGCAGAGUCAACGGAACCUGUUCUCCCAGGUGAUAGUCCUCCCUCAAGUUCGCAGCCUCAAAACCAUGAUCGCCAGUAUAACAGAACUGAUUUCCCAUCGGAGUGGGGUGGCAUUUCUUCUGAGGAACAUGAUGAAGCUGUUAUGCUUGAGGCUGCAAUGUUUGGUGGAAUUCCUGAAGCACCAACAUAUCCAUUAUCUCAUGCGAGCUCGAGUCAUUAUCCCCAAGUAGUGCACUCUCCACCACCAGAAUUGACUGAACAACGGUUAUUACGAGAGCAGCAGGAUGAUGAGUACCUUGCAUCGCUCCAAGCUGAUCAAGAAAAGGAGAUGAAGACUCUACAAGAAGCUGAGCUCAGACUGCUGGAAGAAACUGCUGCAAGAGAAGCUGCUCUUGAGAAACAAAGGCAAGAGGAGGAGGAACAGCGUAAAAUGCAACUUGAGAAAGAGGAGCUUGAGUCCAAUCUUGCCGCCAAAGAAGCAUCAUUGCCAUUGGAGCCACCUUCAGACAAAGAAGGUGUUAUAACACUUGUAGUUCGCAUGCCUGACGGUAGUCGACAGGGGCGUCGCUUUUUAAAAUCUGAUAAAUUCAAGUCCCUUUUUGAUUUCUUAGACGUUGGCAGGACUUGCAAGCCAGAAACCUACAGACUGGUAAGGACAUACCCCAGGCGUGCUUUUACCACUGCUGACGGCGACCAAUCAUUUACUGAUCUCGGGUUAACAAGCAAGCAGGAAGCCUUAUUUAUAGAGCAGAUUACUGAUUAG
Molecule: ribosomal RNA, 1662 nt
Filed under: Triticum aestivum (bread wheat)
Lineage: Eukaryota; Viridiplantae; Streptophyta; Magnoliopsida; Poales; Poaceae
Description: partial small subunit ribosomal RNA
Source: RNAcentral